UAGGGAAUCUUCGGCAAUGGGGGGAACCCUGACCGAGCAACGCCGCGUGAGUGAAGAAGGUUUUCGGAUCGUAAAGCUCUGUUGUUAAGGAAGAACUAGUGUGAGAAUGGAAAGUUCAUGCUGUGACGGUACUUAACCAGAAAGGGACGGCUAACUACGUGCCAGCAGCCGCGGUAAUACGUAGGUCCCGAGCGUUGUCCGGAUUUAUUGGGCGUAAAGCGAGCGCAGGCGGUUAGAAAAGUCUGAAGUGAAAGGCAGUGGCUCAACCAUUGUAGGCUUUGGAAACUGUUUAACUUGGGUGCAGAAGGGGAGAGUGGAAUUCCAUGUGUAGCGGUGAAAUGCGUAGAUAUGUGGAGGAACAACGGUGGCGAAAGCGGCUCUCUGGUCUGUAACUGACGCUGAGGCUCGAAAGCGUGGGGGGCGAACAGG
Molecule: ribosomal RNA, 429 nt
Filed under: Bacteroidota bacterium
Lineage: Bacteria; Pseudomonadati; Bacteroidota
Description: Bacteroidetes bacterium partial 16S ribosomal RNA
Rfam family: Bacterial small subunit ribosomal RNA
Source: RNAcentral